This 449-nucleotide ribosomal RNA is filed under the name uncultured bacterium. RNAcentral's name for it is "partial 16S ribosomal RNA". It matches the Rfam family "Bacterial small subunit ribosomal RNA", at positions 29 to 523 of the family's 1533-position model. The record is from RNAcentral.
AAUGAACGCUGGCGGCAGGCCUAACACAUGCAAGUCGAACGGGUCCUUCGGGACUAGUGGCGGACGGGUGAGUAACGCGUGGGAACGUGCCCCUUGGUACGGAAUAGCCCCGGGAAACUGGGAGUAAUACCGUAUGUGGUCGAGAGACGAAAGAUUUAUCGCCAAGGGAUCGGCCCGCGUUGGAUUAGGUAGUUGGUGGGGUAAUGGCCUACCAAGCCGACGAUCCAUAGCUGGUUUGAGAGGAUGAUCAGCCACACUGGGACUGAGACACGGCCCAGACUCCUACGGGAGGCAGCAGUGGGGAAUCUUAGACAAUGGGGGAAACCCUGAUCUAGCCAUGCCGCGUGAUCGAUGAAGGCCUUAGGGUUGCAAAGAUCUUUCAGGUGGGAAGAUAAUGACUGUACCACCAGAAGAAGCCCCGGCCAACUCCGUGCUAGCCGCCGCGGUAA